RNAcentral lists this ribosomal RNA (342 nucleotides) under Triticum aestivum (bread wheat). RNAcentral's name for it is "partial small subunit ribosomal RNA". The record is from RNAcentral. Lineage: Eukaryota; Viridiplantae; Streptophyta; Magnoliopsida; Poales; Poaceae.
AUGUCUGCCGGCCUGAAAGCUUUGGUGGUGAGCGGGGUUCCUUUCGCCGAGAAAAGGGACGGGUUAGGAUUUGAGGACCGCCUGGCAAUUCUGCCUGGUGGUAGAAUGGCAGGCAAUGGGGAGGUUGAUUUUGUGGGCACUAACGGUGCUUGUCGUGAAGAGAGUGGUGGCCGGUCUGCAAGUGUGAAUGCCCUACACGGUUUAGCUGCACCAGAUAAGCAGAGAGGUCUCGAACGUCCAACUAACAGCAGAGAGAAGGUUCCUUACGAGAGGCUGAGCAAGCGAAAAUGUUUCUGCAGCAUUUGUCGGCGCGAAGGUCACAAGCGAACCACCUGCCUUUAA